This 510-nucleotide ribosomal RNA is filed under the name Drosophila aquila. RNAcentral describes it as "partial 16S ribosomal RNA". It matches the Rfam family "Bacterial large subunit ribosomal RNA", at positions 1825 to 2597 of the family's 2925-position model. Lineage: Eukaryota; Metazoa; Arthropoda; Insecta; Diptera; Drosophilidae. The record is from RNAcentral.
GUCUUUUUGAAUUAAAUUUAAAGUCUAACCUGCCCACUGAAAAUUUUAAAUGGCCGCAGUAUUCUAACUGUGCAAAGGUAGCAUAAUCAUUAGUCUUUUAAUUGAAGGCUGGAAUGAAUGGUUGGACGAGAUAUUAACUGUUUCAUUUAAAUUUUUUAUAGAAUUUUAUUUUUUAGUCAAAAAGCUAAAAUUAAUUUAAAAGACGAGAAGACCCUAUAAAUCUUAAUAUUUUGUUUAUUUUAAUUAUAAAGAUUAUUUUUAUUAUAAUAAAUUAAAAUAUUUUAUUGGGGUGAUAUUAAAAUUUAAAAAACUUUUAAUUUUAAAAACCAUUAAUUUAUGAAUAAUUGAUCCAUUAAUAAUGAUUAAAAAUUUAAGUUACUUUAGGGAUAACAGCGUAAUUUUUUUGGAGAGUUCAUAUCGAUAAAAAAGAUUGCGACCUCGAUGUUGGAUUAAGAUAUAAUUUUGGGUGUAGCCGUUCAAAUUUUAAGUCUGUUCGACUUUUAAAUUCUU